Molecule: ribosomal RNA, 405 nt
Filed under: Triticum aestivum (bread wheat)
Lineage: Eukaryota; Viridiplantae; Streptophyta; Magnoliopsida; Poales; Poaceae
Description: partial small subunit ribosomal RNA
Source: RNAcentral
AUGGCAAAUGAGAUCAUUCUGCGCCUCGACGUUGUCCAGGAACGCAGACAACUCUCGGGCGCAGAGCUGCAGCUGCGGAGACAGCUUAAGCUGCGCGUUCUCGGCCUCGCUGCGAUCGAUAGGGCCCGAAAGCGGCAAGCGUCGCAGAUCUCCUGGCUACGUGCGGGCGAUGCCAGGACGUCGUUUUCCCAGGCAAAAAUCAACUCCAGGUGACAGAAAAACUUUGUCCAUGCCCUCCACAGUGGUCGUGCCAUCGCCACCUCCCAUGAAGACAAGGAACAUAUCAUCCAUGAGCACUUCAGCUCCACCUUAGGGUCAGCGACGCCGCGUAGCUGCACCAUCAACUGGGACGCUGUCCGUCUGUCAACCCUGCCCGCGGCCGGCCUCGACAACCCAUUUACCGAA